UCCCUUGUAGCUUAGUUGGUAAAGAAUCUGCCUGCAAUGCAGGAGACCUGGGUUCAAUUCCUGGGUCAGGAA
RNAcentral lists this transfer RNA (72 nucleotides) under Odocoileus virginianus texanus. It matches the Rfam family "tRNA". Rfam says of the family: Transfer RNA (tRNA) molecules are approximately 80 nucleotides in length. RNAcentral also lists the same sequence under 6 other names. Lineage: Eukaryota; Metazoa; Chordata; Mammalia; Artiodactyla; Cervidae. The record is from Rfam by way of RNAcentral.